This is an RNA transcript of Ricinus communis (castor bean), 2368 nucleotides long. It is a transcript of the gene named internal alternative NAD(P)H-ubiquinone oxidoreductase A1, mitochondrial, with no coding region annotated. Lineage: Eukaryota; Viridiplantae; Streptophyta; Magnoliopsida; Malpighiales; Euphorbiaceae. The record is from RefSeq and is a predicted model, not a curated record. The transcript has 11 exons.
GGAUAAAAGUAUCAGUGUCCACCGAGUGCCACGUUGAAUUAAACGCUGACUCAUAAAUCACAUUCACUCACUGACUGCUGCUACGACUGUCUAUCUAUGGCUAUGGCUAUGAUGCUGCACUAGUCUCCUCCUCCUCCUCCUUGAGUAGUUUAGAUAGCACAAUUUGGAUUCUUCCAUUACAAUCAAUCAUGUCUUGGUUUACUAACCUAAUCCGAAUCUCCACUGUCAAAUCAGCGUCUUCUUCCACCAAAUCACUGCCACCUCUAAUUACAAAUCCCAAUUUUCUCAUCUCCUCCCUCUUCCAUUUCUCCACCCACGCCCACCCUCCGCCGCAGUAUGCAGGGCUUCCGCCCACCAAGCCCGGCGAGAAGCCUAGGCUCGUCGUUUUGGGGUCUGGAUGGGCUGGCUGCCGUCUGAUGAAGGGCAUAGACACCAAGUUGUACGAUGUGGUUUGCGUUUCGCCCAGGAAUCACAUGGUAUUCACUCCUUUACUGGCUUCUACUUGCGUCGGAACCCUUGAGUUCAGGUCUGUAGCCGAGCCCAUCGCCCGCAUCCAGCCUGCCAUCUCCAAGGAGCCCGGUUCCUAUUUCUUUCUCGCCAAUUCCACUGCUAUUGAUACUCAUAGCCAUUUGGUGCAUUGCGAGACUGCUACUGAUGGAUCAAGUACCAUGGAUCCAUGGAAAUUUGAUAUCUCCUAUGAUAAGUUGGUAAUAGCAUUGGGAGCAGAAGCUUCCACAUUUGGAAUACAUGGUGUCAAAGAGCAUGCCAUCUUUCUUCGGGAAGUUCACCAUGCUCAAGAAAUUCGGCGAAAGCUGCUUCUAAACUUGAUGCUUUCUGAUGUCCCUGGUAUUUCAGAAGAAGAGAAGAGCAGAUUGUUACACUGUGUUGUUGUAGGAGGUGGUCCCACUGGAGUUGAAUUCAGUGGUGAACUUAGUGAUUUUAUCACGAGAGAUGUUCGUCAAAGAUAUGCCCAUGUUAAGGAUUAUAUUCAUGUUACAUUGAUCGAGGCAAAUGAGAUAUUAUCUUCCUUUGAUGAUCGCCUUCGUCACUAUGCUACUAAACAGUUGACAAAGUCAGGAGUUCAACUUGUCCGUGGGAUUGUCAAAGAUGUUAAACCUCAGAAGCUAGUUCUUAGUGAUGGCUCAGAGGUUCCAUAUGGUCUCUUGGUCUGGUCAACAGGCGUUGGCCCCUCACAUCUUGUAAAAUCACUGGACCUCCCAAAAUCUCCAGGUGGAAGGAUUGGUAUUGAUGAGUGGCUUAGAGUCCCUUCUGUGCCAGAUGUGUUUGCUAUUGGUGACUGCAGUGGAUUUCUUGAAAGUACUGGUAAAUCAGUUCUUCCAGCUUUAGCUCAGGUUGCAGAGCGGCAAGGAAAAUAUCUUGCUGGUCUCUUGAACAAAAUUGCUAGAGCUGGUGGAGGGCAGGCAAACAGUUGUGUAGACAUAGAAUUGGGAGAUCCAUUUGUUUACAGACAUCUGGGAAGCAUGGCAACUAUCGGCAGAUACAAAGCCCUUGUUGAUCUUAGGCAGAGUAAAGAGGCCAAAGGGAUUUCUUUGGCAGGAUUUGUCAGUUGGUUUGUCUGGCGCUCUGCAUAUCUAACUCGUGUAAUAAGCUGGAGGAACAGAUUCUAUGUUGCUAUUAACUGGGCCACAACUCUUGUGUUUGGUCGUGAUAUAAGCAAAAUAUAGAUCUAAAUAGAGGUGACAGUGCUCGUGUAACAUUUGAUUGCCAUUGGUUUGUGAAGAUACUGAAUAAGUAAAGGCUUCCUCAGUCAGUAAAGGAUGUUUCUUGGUGCAAAUUGAUAUAGCUUUUGUAAUUCCGUACAUAAUGGCCAGCCAUUUGUUUCUACUACGCCACGCAUCUAUUCAGGAGCUUUGAAGCAUGUGAUCAAGUUAUCAAUAGAAGCCAAGCAAAUCAGGAGUCUAGUUCUUUGCAAGCUAUGUUGAUCGCUGUGUUUUUUUUUUUUUUUUAAAUAUUGAUUUCUAGGAUGAGGCAGAAGUUCGUCAGAAGCUAGCACUAGAACUUCAACUUUAUACAGGAAUCAAGCCCUUAUUAUAUUGUCGGUGCCGUAGUGGGUACUAGGAUGCAUGCUGUUUUUACUCUCUGACUAAAAAAUAGAAAAUAAAACAGAAUUCAGAUAUUGGAGCUGUCGGCUAUGUCAUGCUGUUGCAGUGGUCAGUGGUGGCUUCUCAAUCUAAAGCCAUGCAAGAACGCGACUCUUAAUCACUCUUGUCGAAUUACAAUUGAUCAGGCUACAGCUAGCAAUCAUCAUCCCAGGGAGGCCCUGCUGCUUAAAUCUUGUUCUUGCUAGUCUUCAUUGAAAGACACUAUAUGAAAUAAAAAGUUGGAAAUUCAGAGUUCUAGAAAGCCA